UACGUAGGGGGCGAGCGUGGUCCGGAUUCAUUGGGCGUAAAGAGCUCGUAGGCGGCUUGAUAAGUCGGGUGUGAAACCUCCAGGCUCAACCUGGAGUCGCCACUCGAUACUGUCAUGGCUAGAGUCCGGUAGGGGACCACGGAAUUCCUGGUGUAGCGGUGAAAUGCGCAGAUAUCAGGAGGAACACCGGUGGCGAAGGCGGAUCUCUGGGCCAUUACUGACGCUGAGGAGCGAAAGCGUGGGGAGCGAACAGG
Molecule: ribosomal RNA, 254 nt
Filed under: uncultured bacterium
Lineage: Bacteria
Description: partial 16S ribosomal RNA
Rfam family: Bacterial small subunit ribosomal RNA
Source: RNAcentral